GGGCCUGUAGCUCAGUUGGGAGAGCGCCUCGUUCGCAAUGAGGAGGUCAGCGGUUCGAUUCCGCUCAGGUCCACCA
This 76-nucleotide transfer RNA is filed under the name Amphiplicatus sp. RNAcentral's name for it is "tRNA-Ala". It matches the Rfam family "tRNA". Rfam says of the family: Transfer RNA (tRNA) molecules are approximately 80 nucleotides in length. The record is from RNAcentral. Lineage: Bacteria; Pseudomonadati; Pseudomonadota; Alphaproteobacteria; Parvularculales; Parvularculaceae. RNAcentral also lists the same sequence under 2 other names.